Non-coding RNA from Prunus avium (sweet cherry), 499 nucleotides. Lineage: Eukaryota; Viridiplantae; Streptophyta; Magnoliopsida; Rosales; Rosaceae. The record is from RefSeq and is a predicted model, not a curated record.
UAAUAGGGAAUUUUCGGAAAUGAUUUUGGAAUUUGUUAAAAUGAUUUCAGGACCUACGGAAAUGCCUAUGGUAGAAAAAUACAAUGAAAGGUAAAAGGAACGGUUCAUGGUGAAAGGACCAUGCCAAAAUUUUAAAGGUUUGAAGGAAUGUAUACUUGUUCAAGUGGUUUACAGCAUUGUCUUCCAUGAGGGGAGUACCGAGGAUUUGAGCAAGGAAAGAAAGGUGUGAGUCUCAGGUGAGAAUGAGGAGUAGGCCGGAGCAACUGGCAUUGGACAAAACCAGGGUCGGAAUGGGAUCGGGUGUUUUCACGUCUCACCUUAGUGCCCAGUUUGUCUUGAUUUCUACAACAUGGUCCCGUGGAUAGUCUAGUUUAGGAGAUUAUUGUUAGUUUGAAUUGGUUUCUUCUUGAAGUUGAUACUUAAGACAUUAACCUUAUGUUGUAUUUUCCAUAUUAUGAUCUCACAAUUGAAUAAACUGUUUAAUGUCUUAUUCUUUUUA